RNAcentral lists this ribosomal RNA (505 nucleotides) under uncultured bacterium. RNAcentral describes it as "partial 16S ribosomal RNA". It matches the Rfam family "Bacterial small subunit ribosomal RNA", at positions 28 to 507 of the family's 1533-position model. The record is from RNAcentral.
GACGAACGCUGGCGGCGUGCCUAAUACAUGCAAGUAGAACGCACAGUUUAUACCGUAGCUUGCUACACCAUAGACUGUGAGUUGCGAACGGGUGAGUAACGCGUAGGUAACCUGCCUGGUAGCGGGGGAUAACUAUUGGAAACGAUAGCUAAUACCGCAUAAUAUUAAUUAUUGCAUGAUAAUUAAUUGAAAGGUGCAAUUGCACCACUACCAGAUGGACCUGCGUUGUAUUAGCUAGUAGGUGAGGUAACGGCUCACCUAGGCGACGAUACAUAGCCGACCGGAGAGGGUGAUCGGCCACACUGGGACGGGGACACGGCCCAGACUCCUACGGGAGGCAGCAGUAGGGAAUCGUCGGCAAUGGACGAAAGUCUGACCGAGCAACGCCGCGUGAGUGAAGAAGGUUUUCGGAUCGUAAAGCUCUGUUGUAAGAGAAGAACGGGUGUGAGAGUGGAAAGUUCACACUGUGACGGUAUCUUACCAGAAAGGGACGGCUAACUACGUG